Long non-coding RNA from Prunus avium (sweet cherry), 547 nucleotides. RefSeq lists it as uncharacterized. NCBI's taxonomy places the organism in Eukaryota, Viridiplantae, Streptophyta, Magnoliopsida, Rosales, Rosaceae. The record is from RefSeq and is a predicted model, not a curated record.
UUUAAAAGCCUUCCGAAAUCAGAUCUCACCCUUUCAUUCUCUCUUGGACAGACGUGGCACAGCAAUUGCCUCAGAUCAUGGCUUCUCGGGCCACCGGCGAUGACCACUGGUAACAAACUGGUAAAGUUGCUUGAGGAUAUCAUGGAUGGCAGCAGAAUACUGAUAUUCAUGGAUACUAAGAAAGGAUGUGACCAGAUCACUCGACAGCUCCGCAUGGAUGGUUGGCCUGCUGAGUUUAAAAGUCAAGCAAAAAGGGAUUGGGUCCUCUCUGAGUUUAAAGCCGGCAAGAGCCCCAUAAUGACUGGACUGCAACAGAUGUUGCUGCUCGUGGUCUAAGUAUGGAAAUAAUUUCUUUUAAGUUUGUCAAAAGACUUGAAAGGAAUUCUUGUUUUGUGUAAACUUAGGAAAAUGUCAAACCCCCACCCUGGACACCAUUUCAUUUUAGACUGUAUCGAGUCCUUUCUGUUCUCAUUGAUCUGACCUAUGAGGAUGUUAUCAACAUGAUUGUACUGAAACAAAUAUUUAUUAUACGUUAGUUUGUUUAAAA